Molecule: ribosomal RNA, 475 nt
Filed under: Bifidobacterium asteroides
Lineage: Bacteria; Bacillati; Actinomycetota; Actinomycetes; Bifidobacteriales; Bifidobacteriaceae
Description: bacterial SSU rRNA
Rfam family: Bacterial small subunit ribosomal RNA
Source: RNAcentral
CGCUGGCGGCGUGCUUAACACAUGCAAGUCGAACGGGAUCCGGGCAGCUUGCUGCCUGGUGAGAGUGGCGAACGGGUGAGUAAUGCGUGACCAACCUGCCCCAUGCUUCGGAAUAGCUCCUGGAAACGGGUGGUAAUGCCGGAUGCUCCGCACCGUCGCAUGAUGGUGUGGGAAAGGGUUUACCGGCAUGGGAUGGGGUCGCGUCCUAUCAGCUUGUUGGCGGGGUGAUGGCCUGCCAAGGCUUCGACGGGUAGCCGGCCUGAGAGGGCGACCGGCCACAUUGGGACUGAGAUACGGCCCAGACUCCUACGGGAGGCAGCAGUGGGGAAUAUUGCACAAUGGGCGCAAGCCUGAUGCAGCGACGCCGCGUGCGGGAUGACGGCCUUCGGGUGUAAACCGCUUUUGAUUGGGAGCAAGCGAGAGUGAGUGUACCUUUUCGAAUAAGCACCGGCUAACUACGUGCCAGCAGCCGCGG